GGAGGUGUAGUUCAAUGGUAGAACAUCGGCCUCCAAAUCCGAUUACGUGGGUUCGAUUCCUACCACCUCUG
RNAcentral lists this transfer RNA (71 nucleotides) under Modicella reniformis. It matches the Rfam family "tRNA". From Rfam's summary of the family: Transfer RNA (tRNA) molecules are approximately 80 nucleotides in length. Lineage: Eukaryota; Fungi; Mortierellomycota; Mortierellomycetes; Mortierellales; Mortierellaceae. The record is from Rfam by way of RNAcentral.